AACGCACAUUGCGCCCUCUGGUAUUCCGGGGGGCAUGCCUGUUCGAGCGUCAUUACAACCCUCAAGCUCUGCUUGGUAUUAGGCCUCACCCGCGAGGGUGGGCCUUAAAAUCAGUGGCGGUGCCAUCUGGCUUCAAGCGUAGUAAUUCUUCUCGCUUUGGAGAACUGGAUGCGUGCCUGCCAGCAACCCCAAUUUUUAAUCAAAGGUUGACCUCGGAUCAGGUAGGGAUACCCGCUGAACUUAA
Molecule: unclassified non-coding RNA, 244 nt
Filed under: uncultured fungus
Lineage: Eukaryota; Fungi
Description: partial contains 5.8S ribosomal RNA, internal transcribed spacer 2, and large subunit ribosomal RNA
Rfam family: 5.8S ribosomal RNA (bases 1-52)
Source: RNAcentral